AUUAUUUUGGCAGAGUAGUGCGAUGGAUUUAGAAUCUUUAUAUGUAAUUAAUUUACAAAUAAUA
Molecule: transfer RNA, 64 nt
Filed under: Boros schneideri
Lineage: Eukaryota; Metazoa; Arthropoda; Insecta; Coleoptera; Boridae
Description: tRNA-Leu
Rfam family: tRNA
About the family: Transfer RNA (tRNA) molecules are approximately 80 nucleotides in length. Their secondary structure includes four short double-helical elements and three loops (D, anti-codon, and T loops).
Source: RNAcentral